AGUUGAGUUAUAUCUUACUGCCCUCUGCAUCUACUUUAUGAGGGUUUCUGAAUUAAGGCUGGGCUGUAAGGUGUCUUGACUCCUUUGGUAAUUGCAUCAUUUCCUGGCCGUGUCUAGUAUAUAACGCGGAGAAGUGAAGCAAUUGCCCAGAUAAUAACACAGUUUGGAAAGUAGGAGGAUAACAAACACAGUGGGUUUGAAGGACUUGCUUGGAGCCUUGGGCAGAUGUCCUGAUCCUUCACUAGGCAUACCACCCACAGCUCUCUCAGCCUCGUUAGCCUGCGUGUGCCAAAUAAAUAAAAUAGAACCGCGUGCUAUGAGGCUACGUGACCCUUCAUCACCCAUAUUUGUUGAGCACGCGCUCUGCACCCAGGACAGCGCGUCGCUCCGGCUCUUCGCCGAGAAACGCUCUCAGCUGGUGGCAAUCUAUCGUUAGAUUUAGUAAAAUGUUUAGAGGGACUUAACAUCCGCGUGACAGAGAACGAAGAAAGACGGAGAGGGACAGAACUUAGAUUUGGAAAGAGCAGCUAAAAUGGUUAAUAAAAUAAUAAAGCAAAUUACAAGGCUCUGGACAGUACGCGUCCAGACAACACUUGUCUUGCUGUGCUGAGACUGAUUGGGAAGAGGAGAAUGCUGAGUACUUAAUGUUCCAGGAAGUCCAUUGUGAUAGGUGCCAUGGGGUUAAGAAAAGAUGUGAUUUUUGGUGCUUAAGAAGCUUUCACUUCAUUGGAUAAUUAAGACAAAAAUAUGUUGCCACCAUUAACAAAAAUAAUUGGCACCAUUCAUUGAUUAUUUGCUGCAUAUCAAGUACUUCAAAUAAUCACGAUAUAUGGUAAAAGAAGGGAGAAGGAAGUGAGCACUAGAAUCAAAAUAGAGCUUGAAAACUGUUUUUCAAGCUGGACCUAAAGGCUAGAAGUAUCCGGAAUGCCUGAGAAAAGGAGAAUGGACAUUGCUUCUAAGGGAUCCAGGAUGACCAUGGUCUAGUAUUUGCAACGAAAAGGACUAACUGUGUCAGACUGGCUGUAGUAGGGAACCUGCGCUGGGGAACAGUGGAGAUGAGGGCAGAUAGGUGACUGCAGCUAGAUUAUGGAAGACCUUAAGACAAGUCAAGAAAUUACGAAGGGAACCCAAGAGGACUCGAUGUCUGAUAGGAUAUAAAGGGUUAAGAAUAGGGAGGAAUCAGUUAUGAAUCCUUGAUUUGUUCUGUGUGGCUAGUAAAACUGGGGUGGCAUUAAAAGUAAUAGGAAGGUUGAGAUGGAGAAACUGAUGAAGAAGAGAAGGUAAGUUCAGUUUGAGCCCCACAGAGGCAGCACAACUAAAUGUGGUUGGAAAUACAGAAUGGGAAUUUUGGUGAUAAUUAGGGUAGAAGGGAGAGAUUUUGGAGCCAUUAACUUAAAAGUUUGAGAAGAUUUGAGCUCUUCCCAAAGAAAAAACCUAUAAAAAGGAGAGAGGACCAAGGAAAAAACCCAGGAGAGUAUACAUUAAAGAAGAAGGGGAAGAGGUAGAAAAUGGUGAAAGAGUAG
RNAcentral lists this long non-coding RNA (1523 nucleotides) under Homo sapiens (human). Its description in RNAcentral is "HSALNT0112858". Lineage: Eukaryota; Metazoa; Chordata; Mammalia; Primates; Hominidae. The record is from RNAcentral.